RNAcentral lists this ribosomal RNA (253 nucleotides) under uncultured bacterium. RNAcentral describes it as "partial 16S ribosomal RNA". It matches the Rfam family "Bacterial small subunit ribosomal RNA", at positions 524 to 776 of the family's 1533-position model. The record is from RNAcentral.
UACGUAGGGAGCAAGCGUUGUCCGGAAUCAUUGGGCGUAAAGCGCGCGUAGGCGGCCCUGUAAGUCCGUUGUGAAAGUCAAAGGCUCAACCUUUGAAAGCCGAUGGAUACUGCAGGGCUAGAGUCCGGAAGAGGCGAGUGGAAUUCCUGGUGUAGCGGUGGAAUGCGUAGAUAUCGAGAGGAACACCUGCGGCGAAGGCGGGUUGCUGGGCUGACACUGACGCUGAUGCGCGAAAGCUAGGGGAGCGAACGGG